GCCUGCGUUCGAUUAGCUAGUUGGUUGGGUAAUGGCUGACCAAGGCGAUGAUCGAUAGCUGGUCUGAGAGGAUGACCAGCCACACUGGGACUGAGACACGGCCCAGACUCCUACGGGAGGCAGCAGUGGGGAAUUUUGGACAAUGGGCGAAAGCCUGAUCCAGCAAUGCCGCGUGCAGGAAGAAGGCCUUCGGGUUGUAAACUGCUUUUGUACGGAACGAAACGGUCUGCCUUAAUACGGUGGGCUAAUGACGGUACCGUAAGAAUAAGCACCGGCUAACUACGUGCCAGCAGCCGCGGUAAUACGUAGGGUGCGAGCGUUAAUCGGAAUUACUGGGCGUAAAGCGUGCGCAGGCGGUUAUAUAAGACAGUUGUGAAAUCCCCGGGCUCAACCUGGGAAUUGCAUCUGUGAC
This 412-nucleotide ribosomal RNA is filed under the name uncultured Polaromonas sp. RNAcentral's name for it is "bacterial SSU rRNA". It matches the Rfam family "Bacterial small subunit ribosomal RNA", at positions 229 to 633 of the family's 1533-position model. The record is from RNAcentral. Lineage: Bacteria; Pseudomonadati; Pseudomonadota; Betaproteobacteria; Burkholderiales; Comamonadaceae.